This 76-nucleotide transfer RNA is filed under the name Deltaproteobacteria bacterium. Its description in RNAcentral is "tRNA-Lys". It matches the Rfam family "tRNA". Rfam says of the family: Transfer RNA (tRNA) molecules are approximately 80 nucleotides in length. Their secondary structure includes four short double-helical elements and three loops (D, anti-codon, and T loops). Further hydrogen bonds mediate the characteristic L-shaped molecular structure. tRNAs have two regions of fundamental functional importance: the anti-codon, which is responsible for specific mRNA codon recognition, and the 3' end, to which the tRNAs corresponding amino acid is attached (by aminoacyl-tRNA synthetases). tRNAs cope with the degeneracy of the genetic code in two manners: having more than one tRNA (with a specific anti-codon) for a particular amino acid; and 'wobble' base-pairing, i.e. permitting non-standard base-pairing at the 3rd anti-codon position. The record is from RNAcentral. Lineage: Bacteria; Pseudomonadati; Myxococcota; Myxococcia.
GGAUCGCUAGCUCAGUUGGUAGAGCAGGUGACUCUUAAUCACCGGGUCAACAGUUCGAGUCUGUUGCGAUCCACCA